AUUAUACAUCAUUUAAAAUGUAAAAUAUUGAUGCUAUCAAUUUGUGUAUGACUUAGUCAUAUUAUACCCAUUUAUUUUCAAUUUAAAAAUAUUAUAAAAUUAGGAAGUUAAAAUUUUGACGUUUGUUGAUACACUAAAUACUAAUUUAUUCUCCUAUUCUUAGUUAUUAUUCAGUUAAACUUUCUAAGUUUUUAAAUGCUGUAAGGUAUAUUAAUUUAUGAUGUCCAAGAUACAUAACCAAUCUUAAUUUAAUUGUAUUAAUUUGGUUUUCAUGAGUAAUAUAGCUAAAGCAAUUUUGAACAAAAUGAGUACACAUAAUAGUUAAAAACAAUAUGAGGAUAAGACCCUAUAGUGGUGAAGAAAGUGGGACUACAUGUAGAAUUUAAUUUUUUUUAUAUAAACUAGUCCGGGCUAGUAAUAGUACAAAAUAUAUAAUAAAAAUACUAUAAAUAAUUAUGUACAAUAAAUUAUUAUAGUACAAUUUAUGUUUGCUGGUCGCUAAAAUAAUCUUUAAAACUGAAAACCUGAUUUGAUUUUAAUUACAUGUACUUCUAAUUUAAAACUAUGGAUUUUUAUUUCUUUAAAUCCAUUUAUAUUACUAUCUAAUAGAAGUUUAGUAUACAUAAAUAACUGGGCACCCCACCUAGUUAACAAUAAAAUUACAUUUAUUAUUUAAGUAAAUUGUAUGUUUUAAUUUAUUAUAAUAAUUGUUUUAUUUUAGUUAUGAUUGUGAGGCGAUACGGUAAUUAACGAAUUCUGAAAAUUUGUAUUAUUUCUCAAAUAUUAACAUAUUAAUAUUAUGUAAUAUAGUAGUACAUUUUACAGUUACUCGAAAAAUAAGAUAACAACACUUAAAACUUUUACUACUUUAAAAAGUAAAUAUGUAUAAGAUUUUUUUAAAAUUUAAUUUAUUUAACUUUUGAAAUCUUAUUUAUACCUGAGGAAUUGCUGUACUAUACUCUUUUCCAAAUAAGAAUGCACCGGAUGACAGACGAAAACCAAUCAAAACUCAUGCACGCCCCAUUAUAAUUAAUAUUUUUAUAGUAGGGGUGUUUGUUUCCACCUCUGAUAAUAUGCGAUGUGGUGCGUUAUUAUUUUAAAAAGAGUAUAAUAACUAAAAGUACUAUUUAUUAUAUAUUAUACAUUUGUAUAUGAGCACUGUUGGCUACUCAUAAUGUAUUGGAAAGGUUAUUUUUUAUUUUCCUCGUAGCUUUUGAUAACUGCUUUAGAAUAUCUACUUAUUAAAAUCGACUAAUUCAGUUUUUGCUCGAU
Cinara cedri is the source of this 1272-nucleotide non-coding RNA. The record is from the annotation of a GenBank genome assembly. Lineage: Eukaryota; Metazoa; Arthropoda; Insecta; Hemiptera; Aphididae.